AUCCUCGGCCAUACUACGUAGGAAGUGAAGGUUCCGCGUCCCGUCCGCUCCGCCAAGGCAAAUUACUCGCAGUCGGAUAGUGCCCUGGUGGGGGACCACAACGGAAUACCAGAUGUUGAGGUUC
RNAcentral lists this ribosomal RNA (124 nucleotides) under Cryptococcus deneoformans JEC21. Lineage: Eukaryota; Fungi; Basidiomycota; Tremellomycetes; Tremellales; Cryptococcaceae. The record is from RNAcentral.